AUUCGUUUACCAACCUCUCAACCCAACAUUUCUACUGAGCUAUUCUAUAUUUAUAUAGAAGCAUUUAUGUUAAAACUAGUAACAUAGAACUUUUCUCUUAUAUGUAAGUGUACAUCAGAUCGAAUACAUCACUGAUAAUUAUUUAGCUUGAACCAACUGUAAUAACACCCUAAGAAAAUCUUACUGAUAACACUAUUAACCUUACACAAGUACAUAAAAGAAAGAUUAUAAGAUAGGAAAGGAACUCGGCAAACACUAGUUCCGCCUGUUUACCAAAAACAUCGCCUCUUGACUACUAUAAGAGGUAACGCCUGCCCAGUGACUAUAUGUUCAACGGCUGCGGUAUUUUAACCGUACAAAGGUAGCGUAAUCACUUGUCUUCUAAAUAAAGACUAGUAUGAACGGCAUCACGAGAACUAAACUGUCUCCCCCAUCCAAUCAGUGAAACUGAUCUCCCCGUGCAGAAGCGGGGCUAAUAACAUAAGACGAGAAGACCCUGUGGAGCUUCAAAAUCAAUAUCAAUUGCCUCGCUUACCCUUUACAUCUGCGCAAAUAUGAUCUUGACUUUUCAGCUGGGGCGCCUAUGGAGAAAACCCACCCUCCAUGAAGAACUUACUACGAGCUACUACACUAAGUAUUGAUAAACUCAACUUAAAUUGAUCCAAUCUAUUGAUCAACGGACCAAGUUACCCCAGGGAUAACAGCGCAAUCCACUUUUAGAGUCCCUAUCGACAAGUGGGCUUACGACCUCGAUGUUGGAUUAGGGCAUCCUAGUGGUGCAACCACUACUAAAGGUUCG
RNAcentral lists this ribosomal RNA (799 nucleotides) under Leptobrachella hamidi. RNAcentral describes it as "partial 16S ribosomal RNA". It matches the Rfam family "Bacterial large subunit ribosomal RNA", at positions 1454 to 2575 of the family's 2925-position model. Lineage: Eukaryota; Metazoa; Chordata; Amphibia; Anura; Megophryidae. The record is from RNAcentral.